Molecule: ribosomal RNA, 465 nt
Filed under: uncultured bacterium
Lineage: Bacteria
Description: partial 16S ribosomal RNA
Rfam family: Bacterial small subunit ribosomal RNA
Source: RNAcentral
CCUACGGGCGGCAGCAGUGGGGAAUAUUGCGCAAUGGGCGAAAGCCUGACGCAGCGACGCCGCGUGAGGGAUGAAGGUCUUCUGAUCGUAAACCUCUGUCAGCAGGGAAGAACGGUCCCUGUGCUACUCAGCCGUGAAUUGACGGUACCUGCAAAGGCAGCACCGGCUAACUCCGUGCCAGCAGCCGCGGUAAUACGGCGGGUGCGAGCGUUAAUCGGAAUUACUGGGGGUAAAGCGCUCGUAGGCGGUAUGUCAAGUCAAGGGUGAAAUCCCCGCGCUCAACGUGGGAACUGCCUUUGAAACUGGCAAACUGGAGUGUGUGAGAGGAUAGUGGAAUUCCAGGUGUAGGAGUGAAAUCCGUAGAUAUCUGGAGGAACAUCAGUGGCGAAGGCGACUAUCUGGCACAUAACUGACGCUGAGGAGCGAAAGCGUGGGUAGCAAACAGGAUUAGAUACCCUUGUAGUC